This is a long non-coding RNA of Asparagus officinalis (garden asparagus), 632 nucleotides long. RefSeq lists it as uncharacterized. NCBI's taxonomy places the organism in Eukaryota, Viridiplantae, Streptophyta, Magnoliopsida, Asparagales, Asparagaceae. The record is from RefSeq and is a predicted model, not a curated record. The transcript is spliced from 4 exons.
CGGUAGCGCAGUAGCAGUGCCCGCCCACUCGCUGUCCAGUACGCGCAACUCCAACGCUUGCCCACGCCAGCCUCCCGCGCACUCUCGUUGCCCGCACGCGAACCCCCCAGCGACCGCCAACCGCCAUCACCUGGCAACCCCCUGUAGGUUUUGCAGACCGAACUAGAUUUGGUGACCUCUCACUCUCCGGAGGCGAAGAAGAAAUUCAAAGUCGGAAUAUUGUAACAGGACGCGCGUCAAAAAUCCCUACGGCCCUCAAUCUAUCUCUCUCUACAACACUCAAAUUUAAAAAGAUCAAUUUGAGAAUCUUCAUGGAGAUUUAUCUUUCUCUUGGUUUUUAGUCUAGAACAACUCAAUGCUCACCUUUAAAUCUCGAGGCAGCUCAGAGUUCCGGAGAACCGCAGGAUGACAGAGUUUCUGACAUAGUCACCGUCGCAUGAUUUAUUAGUAGAGACUCCACCGUAGAUUUAUUUUCACUGUUCAGACAUUAGAGUUGUAUUCCGUUUGUAAAGGCUAGGUGUCUUUGUACGAUUUGCAGUUGACUCAUGUUGAGACAUUUUACUUUAUUUCAGACUCCAGAUGUAUUUCAGUUCAGACAUGAUAUCAUUUAUGAGAUAUAACUUUCUAUAUCA